UCUCUUUCGGGUACCCAAGUUAUUUUGGGUCCCUUCUUAUUAGUAACCAAGGGAUCUUUCCCCUUCUUUAUCUAAACAUAUUUGCCACUUGGCACACCAAAUUUUCUAAUAAAUCAUGUAGUGCAUGUGUGACCAUGUGUACCACAAUAGAAACAAGUAGGCAUGUUAUUAUUUGACUUCUUAUGCAUAUGAACUACUGGAUUUCUA
This 207-nucleotide long non-coding RNA is filed under the name Lupinus angustifolius (narrow-leaved blue lupine). Its description in RNAcentral is "long non-coding RNA (LANG_LNC000243)". Lineage: Eukaryota; Viridiplantae; Streptophyta; Magnoliopsida; Fabales; Fabaceae. The record is from RNAcentral.